RNAcentral lists this long non-coding RNA (1616 nucleotides) under Salmo salar (Atlantic salmon). RNAcentral describes it as "lncRNA (ENSSSAG00000117861.1)". The record is from RNAcentral. Lineage: Eukaryota; Metazoa; Chordata; Actinopteri; Salmoniformes; Salmonidae.
GUCCAAAAGUGCUGAUAUGUCACUUAUUGUUACGAUAUGUGAAAUGUCAACUGAUAUAAUCACUUAUUGUUACGAUAUGUGAAAUGUCAACUGAUAUAAUCACUUAUUGUUACGAUAUGUGAAAUGUCAACUGAUAUAAUCACUUGUUGUUACGAUAUGUGAAAUGUCAACUGAUAUAAUCACUUAUUGUUACGAUAUGUGAAAUGUCAACUGAUAUAAUCACUUAUUGUUACGAUAUGUGAAAUGUCAACUGAUAUGAUCACUUAUUGUUACGAUAUGUGAAAUGUCAACUGAUAUAAUCACUUAUUGAAAUAUUAGAAUACUGUAGAUAGUAUGAAGUUCGGUCACCAUUCACAUUUAUUUCCAAUUGCUGAGGAAGAAGGAGAACUGUGUAUGUACACUUAUGCAGUAUUGUUAAUGUAACAGUAUCAAAUGAACCGACAGUGUUAGUUUUCUCCUUUAUCUUGUGUUGAAAAUAUGUAUUACUUUGCCAAAAUGUUUAAUCUUGUUCAUCUGUAAAGAAAUGGGUCCAAAGAUUAGAGGUCUUAUUGCAUGUGUUUUUUUUUCCAAGUAGCCAUAUCUGAAUACUUAUUCAAACCUAAGGGCUCGAUUUCAUCGCUAGGGCUGAAGACCUGUGCUACAGGGCGAUAGCAAUUUAUAAGCAAUGUUCCUGCAUUCGCGGGGAUUGCCUUCAUGGUAAACGCUGCAUAUGUCGGCUCAAUGGGAAAUGACCUUUACAUUUCAAUCAUGCUACAGCGCAGAUCUUCAGCGCUACGGAUUAAAUCGAGGCCUAAGUAACACUAAAACAACUUUUGUUAGAUCCUAAGGGGGAGUGGUUUGGCUCAAUUGACAGAUAUGCAAAACUAGACUUGUCCCAGGGCCUGUAUUCAUAAAGUGUCUUAGAGUACAAGUGCUGAUCUAAGAUCGGUUUUAUCUUUUAUAGCAAAAUGAAUAUGAUUAUAUGGACAGAGGGGACCUGAUCCUAGAUCAGCACCCAUACUCUGAGAAGCUUUGUGGAUAAUGACCAAGAUCUGUUUUUGAUGUCUUGCCAAUUCCUUGGCGUGACAAUGACCAGAGGAGUUGCCAAAGCAGCACAAACUGAUCUGGAACCAGGCUAAUGUAACACUAUAGCACUGACUAAAACCUGAUAAAACGAGUUGAUCAAAUGGACACAUUUUAAUGUGAUGUAUGCAACAGUGGCCCUCAUUGUACCGAACACCUCUUAUUGGUUUUGAUAAACUAAUGGUUCUCUGCUACUUAGCUUUUAAUAAGUUCUUAACAAGUGCCUUAUACUCAUACUUGUUUCUGCAUAUACUGUAUACGACUGAUGUCAAGCUUUACCGGGGAUUAUUCCAACAAUGACCCUGCUCUCUCUGUUCAUUGUGCGAGUAAGAUGUUUAUUGGAGAAAUAGGUAGUUAAGAAACCACUUGUAUGUUUCCACAGGUUGUUUUGGUCAGUGUUUAACAUUUGUGUCCUGUGCUCUCCCAUGUUAAGAAAUCAACUGUACAUACAUGUUUUAUUUUUCUGCCUUAAUUCACAGCAAAUUGUUCAGAGAUGUAUGGCUACUGGCUGCUGAUAUGACAUGGAUUGCAUUAUUAUAAUAAAAGAAUGUGAC